AGAGUUUGAUCCUGGCUCAGGAUGAACGCUAGCGGCAGGCCUAACACAUGCAAGUCGAGGGGUAACGAUAAAGUAGCUUGCUACUUUAGGCGACGACCGGCGCACGGGUGAGUAACGCGUAUGCAACCUACCUUUAACAGGGGGAUAGCUCGAAGAAAUUCGGAUUAAUACCCCAUAACAUUUUGAAUCGACAUCGAUUUAAUCUUAAAGCUCCGGCGGUUAGAGAUGGGCAUGCGUGACAUUAGAUUGUUGGUGAGGUAACGGCUCACCAAGUCAGCGAUGUCUAGGGGGUCUGAGAGGAUUAUCCCCCACACUGGAACUGAGACACGGUCCAGACUCCUACGGGAGGCAGCAGUGAGGAAUAUUGGUCAAUGGGGGCAACCCUGAACCAGCCAUGCCGCGUGAAGGAUGAAGGCUUUAUGAGUUGUAAACUUCUUUUAUAUAGGGCGAACCAUUUUUACGUGUUAGAAAUCUGACAGUACUAUAUGAAUAAGCAUCGGCUAACUCCGUGCCAGCAGCCGCGGUAAUACGGAGGAUGCGAGCGUUAUCCGGAUUUACUGGGUUUAAAGGGUGCGCAGGCGGGUCUAUAAGUCAGUGGUGAAAGUCUGUCGCUUAACGAAAGGAUUGCCAUUGAAACUGUAGGUCUUGAGUAUAAUUGAGGCAGGCGGAAUGUGCAGUGUAGCGGUGAAAUGCUUAGAUAUUGCACAGAACACCGAUUCCGAAGGGAGCUUGCUAAGUUAUUACUGACGCUGAGUCACGAAAGCGUGGGGAUCAAACAGGAUUAGAUACCCUGGUAGUCCACGCCGUAAACUAUGAUCACUCGUUGUUGGCGACACACAGUCAGCGGCUAAGCGAAAGCAUUAAGUGAUCCACCUGGGGAGUACGUCGGCAACGAUGAAACUCAAAGGAAUUGACGGGGGCCCGCACAAGCGGAGGAACAUGUGGUUUAAUUCGAUGAUACGCGAGGAACCUUACCUGGGCUUAAAUGGGAGAGGAUCGCCGCCGAAAGGUGGUUUUCCGCAAGGACUUCUUUCAAGGUGCUGCAUGGUUGUCGUCAGCUCGUGCCGUGAGGUGUCGGAUUAAGUUCCAUAACGAGCGCAACCCUCAUCGUUAGUUGCCAGCGAGUAAUGUCGGGGACUCUAACGAAACUGCCAGAGUAAUCUGGAGGAAGGUGGGGAUGAGGUCAAAUCAGCACGGCCCUUACGUCCAGGGCUACACACGUGUUACAAUGGUCGGUACAGAGGGCAGCUACCACGUGAGUGGAUGCGAAUCUCUAAAAACCGGUCUCAGUUCGGAUCGAAGUCUGCAACUCGACUUCGUGAAGUUGGAUUCGCUAGUAAUCGCGCAUCAGCUAUGGCGCGGUGAAUACGUUCCCGGGCCUUGUACACACCGCCCGUCAAGCCAUGGAAGCUGGGGGUACCUAAAGUACGUGACCGCAAGGAGCGUCCUAGGGUAAAACUGGUAACUGGGGCUAAGUCGAAACAAGGUA
RNAcentral lists this ribosomal RNA (1489 nucleotides) under metagenome. Its description in RNAcentral is "bacterial SSU rRNA". It matches the Rfam family "Bacterial small subunit ribosomal RNA". The record is from RNAcentral.